AUACGUAGGUGGCAAGCGUUGUCCGGAUUUAUUGGGUUUAAAGGGAGCGUAGGCGGGAGAUCAAGUCAGCUGUGAAAUGUAGAUGCUCAACAUCUGCACUGCAGUUGAAACUGGUUUUCUUGAGUGCGUAAGGGGCAGGCGGAAUUCGUCGUGUAGCGGUGAAAUGCUUAGAUAUGACGAAGAACUCCGAUCGCGAAGGCAGCCUGCCGGGCCGCGACUGACGCUGAAGCUCGAAGGUGCGGGUAUCGAACAGGAUUAGAUACCCUGGUAGUCCGCACAGUAAACGAUGGAUACUCGCUGUCGGCGAUAUACGGUCGGUGGCCAAGCGAAAGCGUUAAGUACCCCACCUGGGGAGUACGCCGGCAACGGUGAAACUCAAAGGAAUUGGCGGGG
Molecule: ribosomal RNA, 393 nt
Filed under: uncultured bacterium
Lineage: Bacteria
Description: partial 16S ribosomal RNA
Rfam family: Bacterial small subunit ribosomal RNA
Source: RNAcentral